CUCAGGGAUCAGGCUGCUCCAUAUUCACUCUCUUUAAAAAGAUCAGCAUUCAUUUUCCUUUAAAGUUGGGGUUAGUCUGCCUGAGUUGCAUACAAAUAAGAUGAAUGAAUUCAUUACCAAAAGCUAGAUUAAGUUUUGCAGCUGUUCCGCCUGGGGAUCUAGUGGAGAGAGGGGCCAGCACAACUGAAAAUCCUUUACUGAUCAAGGCAGUCUGAAAAUGCAAUCUUACGCGCGCCUGAAUCUUCCCUGACUUCAUGAAGGAAUCAGUGAUGGCCAAGAGGAACACUAGCAGAGUAGCCAGGACAAGCGGGCAAUGAAACGGGCUGAUUGUAUUCAUGACUGUGGUCGUGACUGAGAGCUGCAGGCUCAUAUGUUGCCUGGAAGACCACCUGCUAAGCCUUGGCAUGCAGUGGUUUCAGAGAGAGCUCUUUACUGCCGUCCCAUGGAGAAUCAAUGAAUGGCUGUGGCUGUGAGUUAGGAGGCACUGCUAGCUCUCCCACUAAGCAGGUAAGUGUGGGCACAUUGCAUAAUCUGGGGUAAGUUAAUUUGUGUGGGCCUCAGUUUCCU
Molecule: long non-coding RNA, 567 nt
Filed under: Felis catus (domestic cat)
Lineage: Eukaryota; Metazoa; Chordata; Mammalia; Carnivora; Felidae
Description: lncRNA (ENSFCAG00000040558.2)
Source: RNAcentral